Molecule: ribosomal RNA, 375 nt
Filed under: uncultured organism
Description: partial 16S ribosomal RNA
Rfam family: Bacterial small subunit ribosomal RNA
Source: RNAcentral
GGAGGGGGCUAGCGUUGUUCGGAAUUACUGGGGCGUAAAGCGCGCGUAGGCGGUCAAGUAAGUUGGUGGGUGAAAUCCCGGAGCUCAACUCCGGGAACUGCCUUCUAAAACUGCUUGACUAGAGGCAGGGAGAGGAGAGUGGAAUAUCCAGUGUAGAGGUGAAAUUCGUAGAUAUUGGAUGGAGCACCAGUGGCGAAGGCGACUCUCUGGCCCUGAUCUGACGCUAAGGCGCGAAAGCGUGGGGAGCAAACAGGAUUAGAUACCCUGGUAGUCCACGCCGUAAACGAUGAGAGCUAGUUGUCGGGAAGUUUACUUCUCGGUGACGCAGCUAACGCAUUAAGCUCUCCGCCUGGGGAGUACGGUCGCAAAGAUUAA